GGCGACGUAGCCAAGUGGUAAGGCAAGGGUCUGCAAAACCCUCAUUCGUGGGUUCAAGUCCCACCGUCGCCU
RNAcentral lists this transfer RNA (72 nucleotides) under Anaerolineales bacterium. RNAcentral's name for it is "tRNA-Cys". It matches the Rfam family "tRNA". From Rfam's summary of the family: Transfer RNA (tRNA) molecules are approximately 80 nucleotides in length. Their secondary structure includes four short double-helical elements and three loops (D, anti-codon, and T loops). RNAcentral also lists the same sequence under 1 other name. Lineage: Bacteria; Bacillati; Chloroflexota; Anaerolineae; Anaerolineales. The record is from RNAcentral.